RNAcentral lists this unclassified non-coding RNA (346 nucleotides) under soil metagenome. RNAcentral describes it as "partial contains 5.8S ribosomal RNA, internal transcribed spacer 2, and large subunit ribosomal RNA". The stretch from base 1 to 120 matches the Rfam family "5.8S ribosomal RNA", at positions 35 to 154 of the family's 154-position model. The record is from RNAcentral.
GAUGAAGAACGUAGUGAAAUGCGAUAACUAGUGUGAAUUGCAGAAUUCCGUGAAUCAUCGAGUCUUUGAACGCACAUUGCGCCCUUUGGUAUUCCGAAGGGCAUGCCUGUUCGAGCGUCAUUAUCAACCCUCAAGCCCGGCUUGCCGUUGGGUCCCGUAGGGGUGCGAAUCUCAACGGACCUCAAAGAUAGUGGCAGAGCCCGUACGGACCCUGGAUGCAGCGAGCUUUCUGGCACGCAUCACAGCAAUCCGCCGGCUCGGUCUUAACCGUCAAUUUUUUUUCACUGGUUGACCUCGGAUCAGGUAGGGAUACCCGCUGAACUUAAGCAUAUCAAAAAGCGGAGGA